This 266-nucleotide ribosomal RNA is filed under the name uncultured bacterium. Its description in RNAcentral is "partial 16S ribosomal RNA". It matches the Rfam family "Bacterial small subunit ribosomal RNA", at positions 28 to 296 of the family's 1533-position model. The record is from RNAcentral.
GACGAACGCUGGCGGCGUGCUUAACACAUGCAAGUCGAGCGGUAAGGCCCUUUCGGGGGUACACGAGCGGCGAACGGGUGAGUAACACGUGGGUGACCUGCCUCUAGCUCUGGGAUAAGCCCGGGAAACUGGGUCUAAUACUGGAUAUGACUCCAUGACGCAUGUUGUGGGUGGAAAGCCUUGUGCGGCUAGAGAUGGGCCCGCGGCCUAUCAGCGUUGUUGGUGGGNGAUGGCCUACCAAGGCGACGACGGGUAGCCGGCCUGAG